RNAcentral lists this ribosomal RNA (466 nucleotides) under uncultured Streptococcus sp. RNAcentral's name for it is "bacterial SSU rRNA". It matches the Rfam family "Bacterial small subunit ribosomal RNA", at positions 916 to 1382 of the family's 1533-position model. The record is from RNAcentral. Lineage: Bacteria; Bacillati; Bacillota; Bacilli; Lactobacillales; Streptococcaceae.
GGGGCCCGCACAAGCGGUGGAGCAUGUGGUUUAAUUCGACGCAACGCGAAGAACCUUACCUGGGCUUGACAUCCCGAUCGCACCUUUUGGAAACUUAAGGGUCAGUUCGGCUGGAUCGGUGACAGGUGCUGCAUGGCUGUCGUCAGCUCGUGUCGUGAGAUGUUGGGUUAAGUCCCGCAACGAGCGCAACCCUCGUCCUUAGUUGCCAGCAUUAAGUUGGGCACUCUAAGGAGACUGCCGGUGUUAAACCGGAGAAGCGGGGAUGACGUCAAGUCAGCAUGGCCCUUACGUCCAGGGCUACACACGUGCUACAAUGGUUGGUACAACGAGUUGCGAGUCGGUGACGGCGAGCUAAUCUCUUAAAGCCAAUCUCAGUUCGGAUUGUAGGCUGCAACUCGCCUACAUGAAGUCGGAAUCGCUAGUAAUCGCGGAUCAGCACGCCGCGGUGAAUACGUUCCCGGGCCUU